RNAcentral lists this microRNA precursor (103 nucleotides) under Marmota monax (woodchuck). The record is from RNAcentral. Lineage: Eukaryota; Metazoa; Chordata; Mammalia; Rodentia; Sciuridae.
AAUGUGAUAGCUGGGCCAAAUGGUGGUUCUAUUCCAAGUUUUCCAAGGAAUCUCCACACUGCUUUCCAUAUUGGUUAUACCAAUUUGAAGUUCCACCAGCAAU